Molecule: ribosomal RNA, 1379 nt
Filed under: Bacillus atrophaeus
Lineage: Bacteria; Bacillati; Bacillota; Bacilli; Caryophanales; Bacillaceae
Description: bacterial SSU rRNA
Rfam family: Bacterial small subunit ribosomal RNA
Source: RNAcentral
UGCUCCCUGAUGUUAGCGGCGGACGGGUGAGUAACACGUGGGUAACCUGCCUGUAAGACUGGGAUAACUCCGGGAAACCGGGGCUAAUACCGGAUGCUUGUUUGAACCGCAUGGUUCAAACAUAAAAGGUGGCUUCGGCUACCACUUACAGAUGGACCCGCGGCGCAUUAGCUAGUUGGUGAGGUAAUGGCUCACCAAGGCAACGAUGCGUAGCCGACCUGAGAGGGUGAUCGGCCACACUGGGACUGAGACACGGCCCAGACUCCUACGGGAGGCAGCAGUAGGGAAUCUUCCGCAAUGGACGAAAGUCUGACGGAGCAACGCCGCGUGAGUGAUGAAGGUUUUCGGAUCGUAAAGCUCUGUUGUUAGGGAAGAACAAGUGCCGUUCAAAUAGGGCGGCACCUUGACGGUACCUAACCAGAAAGCCACGGCUAACUACGUGCCAGCAGCCGCGGUAAUACGUAGGUGGCAAGCGUUGUCCGGAAUUAUUGGGCGUAAAGGGCUCGCAGGCGGUUUCUUAAGUCUGAUGUGAAAGCCCCCGGCUCAACCGGGGAGGGUCAUUGGAAACUGGGGAACUUGAGUGCAGAAGAGGAGAGUGGAAUUCCACGUGUAGCGGUGAAAUGCGUAGAGAUGUGGAGGAACACCAGUGGCGAAGGCGACUCUCUGGUCUGUAACUGACGCUGAGGAGCGAAAGCGUGGGGAGCGAACAGGAUUAGAUACCCUGGUAGUCCACGCCGUAAACGAUGAGUGCUAAGUGUUAGGGGGUUUCCGCCCCUUAGUGCUGCAGCUAACGCAUUAAGCACUCCGCCUGGGGAGUACGGUCGCAAGACUGAAACUCAAAGGAAUUGACGGGGGCCCGCACAAGCGGUGGAGCAUGUGGUUUAAUUUCGAAGCAACGCGAAGAACCUUACCAGGUCUUGACAUCCUCUGACACCCCUAGAGAUAGGGCUUCCCCUUCGGGGGCAGAGUGACAGGUGGUGCAUGGUUGUCGUCAGCUCGUGUCGUGAGAUGUUGGGUUAAGUCCCGCAACGAGCGCAACCCUUGAUCUUAGUUGCCAGCAUUCAGUUGGGCACUCUAAGGUGACUGCCGGUGACAAACCGGAGGAAGGUGGGGAUGACGUCAAAUCAUCAUGCCCCUUAUGACCUGGGCUACACACGUGCUACAAUGGACAGAACAAAGGGCAGCGAGACCGCGAGGUUAAGCCAAUCCCACAAAUCUGUUCUCAGUUCGGAUCGCAGUCUGCAACUCGACUGCGUGAAGCUGGAAUCGCUAGUAAUCGCGGAUCAGCAUGCCGCGGUGAAUACGUUCCCGGGCCUUGUACACACCGCCCGUCACACCACGAGAGUUUGUAACACCCGAAGUCGGUGAGGUAACCUUUA